Molecule: RNA transcript, 4866 nt
Organism: Epinephelus fuscoguttatus (brown-marbled grouper)
Lineage: Eukaryota; Metazoa; Chordata; Actinopteri; Perciformes; Serranidae
Gene: tlcd4b
Gene name: TLC domain containing 4b
Exons: 8
Source: RefSeq, a predicted model, not a curated record
GUCGACGUCAACGGUCGGUCCUUUCUGUGAACGCCAAAAUAAAACGUCUAAAAACUUUUCUGUCGGACUCAUAACUCGACACACAUGGCAGCGGCGGGAUAAGGCGGAGAGGGAAGCCGUUUUCUCCGGGCUGUAACGGUUGUUGGGACUCGGUUGUGUUCACGUACCGGAGGAGGCUCCUGUUUCCUCCCCGUCUUUCUUUCCAGGGGUCGCACAGCCGAGACAGAAGAGAGCCAGCGGGCUGGAGCCGUUUAGCCGACCUGCUAGCUAACGUCAAGUUGUAAGAAAGUGGAGAAGACGGCGGCUAAACGGGAGCUUAUCCGCCUACACAGACCUAUGCGACGGAUAGCAGGUGAGUGAUGGAGACGAGAGAGUUGACCGUGGUAGCUGGCAGCUUCGUGGGUUUCCAGCUCCUCUUCUCAGUGGCCAGUCCGCGGCUCUCCUCCGUCAUCACACCAGGAUAUGCACGGCUGCCUCCCACCAAGCACACCGAGUGGAACUCCAGGUUGGUGUCGACUGUGCACGCUCUGAUCGUGGGGUUGUUCUGUCUGUACAUCCUGUGGUUCGAUGAUGAGGUCAACGCCAACCCUGUCUGGGGUGACCCCAGCCUCGUCAAACUAAACGUAGCCAUAACCUGUGGUUACCUCCUUUAUGACCUUGUGCUGCUAGCAUGUAACUGGAGCACUAUGGGAGACAGCUUUUUUGUCUGUCACCACUUGGCGGCGCUCUAUGCAUAUGGAUAUGUGCUGACACGUGGCGUGCUUCCCUACUUUGCCAACUUUCGCCUCAUUUCAGAGUUGUCCACACCUUUUGUGAACCAAAGGUGGUUCUUCGAGGCGUUAAAGUACCCCCGCUCACAUCGGCUGGUGGUACUAAACGGCGUUGCCAUGGCGGUGGUGUUCUUCCUGGUACGCACCGCCGUCAUGCCAUCUUACUGGGCCAGUGUAUUCGCCACCUUUGGCACUCCAGAAUUUGAGCGGCUGGGCUUGGGCGCCCAGGUGGCCUGGAUCACCUCCUGCAUCGCCCUGGACAUCUUGAACCUUAUCUGGAUGUAUAAGAUCACCCGUGGCUGCUACAAGGUCCUGACCGGGAGGGGAGGACGAAAGGUCAAGGAGGCAGCAGAGAAGGAGUCUUCCCCAGACGGGAAGCACGUCAACAACCACACAGACUAAAGAGAUGUAGAGCAAAGGAUAAGUAGACAUGGACAUGAGCAGGGAGGGAGGCUGGACAUCCAGGAACCUCACAGCCUCUCUCGGCUGCUACAGCCUCAGCGUCCCUCCCUCCAAUCCCCAAUCUCAGCCCUUGAUCUCCUUGUAGUUGGCUAGUGGACCGGGCUAGUCCUCAGGUCCUGACCCCAACACGAGACAAAGAGACUGCUCUUUGACUCGCACAAGCACCAGCCUUCGCAGCCUCAGUGUUAGCCUGCUGGGCGAUAGCUUUUGGUCGCAGACAACAAGGUAGAGCUCACAAGCACACUUUUAACUCCGUCUGUCACUCGCCUCUUUCGCCCCCACCGCCAUUCCUGUCCCAUCUCCCCUCAGUCUCCUCUCACGCUCAACUUCAGCCAAAGCCCAAUCCUCUGAAGUGCCUGUGAAAGACAGGAAAGCAAUAAUUGUGGAGGAAUAAGAUCACAAAGUCUAACAGAGCUACACCCCUUCAGAAGACAACCAUCUCUCACUCUCGCUACUGCUCCCGAACGACCGGAGGCUUCUCCUGUCGUUCGCACUCCGUCCACACCAGGAGACGUGCCGCACAGAGCGACGUCCUCCCCCAUCAGAUCCAUACAGUGUUUGUGAAUCUAUAGGGCUCUUGUCUUAAACUCAUCAGACCUCACAAAGAGACAGAAGAAACACCAUAAUGCCUCUUCUACAGUAUCACCUGCUGUGGCCUCCUUGUAACAAGUGGCGCCUGCCUAUAUCACCAGCCAUGCCCCUCCAACCUCCUUACAAUUUGGAUUAUAUAUUAAGAAUCUAAAUAUGCAUGCAGGAGAGAGAAAGACCUGCUCUCCAACAUCCUUAGCUUGUCACGGGACGAUUUUGCCUUUUCAGUAUUCAUGGUGUUGUUUGUAUUGUCUUAUUUUACACACACUGAUGUCCUUCGCAGUCACAUGUCUAAUUCAGAUCUCAUCCAUUGCAACCCUCUGCCUCACUGGAUAAGGCUCCACUAUCCAGCUUGAACGUUUGGUUUUGUUCUACCUCUCCCCCUGUUCCUCUUUCCACUGUAAAGAGUGAUUUAGCCUUUAACGUGUUAUCUGUUGUGAUAUCACUGGUUGAGAGGAACUCCUCCGCGUCUCCUCCGCUUUUUUUUUCCCAGCCAGUGCAGUGAAACAGAGCGGCAUCACUUCUCUCGUCAGUGUAUCUUUCUAGAGAAACACCCCCGGAGGCUUUUAUACUUCCUCUUAUCUCCUUUGUUCUCGGUGACUCUGAGAACCUAAUUUGGGACAGGAGUGGAAAAAGUCCACACACACACAAACACUUGUAGAUGUGUGAACAUUUUCCACUCUCCUCCUCAAGUUUGCACAAGCAGAGCGUAGCAUGCAAACUGUACACUGUAUUUGGUGCCCUUCUUAAACACUGACAUGGUGCUCUUUUGUUUCUGUUGCAGAAUGUCAGCAGUAGGAAUGCUAGCAAUAUGACAUUUUUCAAAAGUUUCUAAUUAAUUUGGAUGUACCGAUCUGUGAUAAGAAUCUGUUGGAAUCAGUGUGGCAAUCUGCAUGUUGUUUUGUUUUCUCUAUAAACUGUAAAUCAUCACUAUGGAGCAUGGUAAGAUGGACAUAUCUCUGUGAUGCCUUAGCGAAUAGUCAAGAUAGAUGUAUAACAUCUAAAUAUUAACUGCAUUAAUCUGUUGCUUAAAGGGGUUUGUCUUCCAGAUGAUUUUGCCUCUCAGAGCAGACUGACUGCAUGAACUUUGAUUCCUUUCUCCUCUCCCUGCAUGUCUGUACAGUAUAUACACACACAGUAGCUACCUUCUGCGUACUGUAUGGCUAACUCACUAAUCAUCACCACGUUCUCUGUGUGCCACUGGGCAUUACUCGGUUUUACAAAUUCAUUAACUCUUGUCUUUGUACUCUAAUGGCUACAUAGCUGAAUCAUGACAGACAGACAGAGAUACAGGAGGAUGUUUCAGAUUUGUUUUUUGUCACUCUAGAAAUUUAGAAAAGACAAGCUGGCGUGUGUACUCCUGUUUCCUUUUCGCUUAAAGGAGAACUCCACUUACUCAGCAUAUCACUCCUAUAGUGAGGCGAAGCUCCGCCCCUUCCUGUGUCCCCCAGGGGACUUUAUUUCAGAAAAAAUAGAGUCGUUUUUCUGUAGGCUGACAUGAGUGUAAACAUGGCACUGGUACCCUCUUCGAAAUGUCUGAGAUUUUUCAUUUGAUUUUGGAUUAUUGCUGAAAAUAAGCUUGGCGCAAAACAAACGUUUAUGAUACUUAAGCAGGAUUUAAACUUGUGCAGCAGAGCCUACAGCGGUGUGAGCAUUUAUAUUUGUGCAGUGUGUCUGCGUCACUCUGCAGUUACACCUCCAAAACACACAUUAAACACACAUUAAACAUGGCUUAAUAGAGACAGUUUCAAACACAAAUACACAAAUCAGCUUCACUAUAACUCGCAGCAUUCACAGACAAACACUUGUCUUUAUCUGGACACAUUUUCCCCACAAAUACAACAUGCUAACAUUAUUAGCACAAGCCUAUGGCAUUUUACAUUGUAUAAAUUAGCCUAGCAGCUAGCUGACUUUUCCUCUCCUCAUAUGAAGCCAGGGACAACAGCAACAUUUAACAAAGGUAACGUUACAAAAUUCAGCUCCAUUACAGCUCACAAGGUUCACUGACAAAACAACUGUCUUAUACUAAACACGUUUUCCAAACAAAUACAACAUGCUAACGUUAUUAGCACAAGCCUAUGGCAUUUUACACUGUAUGAAUUAGCCUAGCAACAGGAUAAAUCACACACAAUACUUAAAAUGCUAUCUUUGUGGAAGCUCACUUAAUCGCUCUUGCAGAGCUUUUAAAUCUUAAUCAACAUCAGGUGUCAUCAAGUGACCAUCGGUUAUACGGUGACAAUAGGUGGUUGUAUAUGGAAAGGAUCCUCGGCCCUGUCUUGUGAUUAUUCAAGGUUAUAUCAAGAAUUUAUUGGCGCCCUAUGUGCCUGGGUGUGUCAUUAGAGCAGUGGCUGUUCCUCAAUUUCAGCUGGUGACCAAAGGUGACCAGACCUUUGCUGUUAGAGCGUCCAGACUGUAGGACACCCCUUCUUAGAACUUUCUUUUAUGGAAAGCAUUUAUGAAUAUUUAAUAUGUUGCUGGCUUUUAUCAUCUCUCCUUAGCUAUUUUAUUGUGCUAUUUUUAAACUUUAUUUUAUCCCAUCAGUGUUUUAUUGACUUUUGUAUUUUAUUUCCUUGUUGUUUUUAGUUUUUGUCUGCUGUUGUAAUCUGAAAAGAACUUAAAUAAAUUCAGUAUAUUUUUAUUAUCAAAUGACCAGUGUUCCCCACUGAGGUCACAUGAGGACUGACAGUCAUUCACUGAUUAAGACCCUGAUCACAUAGAAAGUGUUUUAACAGCUGGAGGCGGCUUUUUGUAAUUGUUUUUAAUGAGAAUGAAGCUUUUUGCAUUGCUACGCGCCUCACAUUUCUGAAUUUUAGGCACCUGGUGUUUUUGCCGGAGCACUCUGAAUUCCUAGAAUUGGCAAAACUUCAACUCAGAGCAGAAAAGCGCCCCAUGUCAUCUCCACUUUUUUCCCAUUGUCCAAUCAGAUGAUUUGAGAGGCGGGCUUUCUGUGGUGGUCACAACAACAAGUUCACAGUUGGUACAAUGGAGGAGAAAGUGGUGGUAGUGGUUGCUGGAUACCCAGAGCUAUACGGCCUGAUGAUAGACA